Molecule: ribosomal RNA, 255 nt
Filed under: uncultured bacterium
Lineage: Bacteria
Description: partial 16S ribosomal RNA
Rfam family: Bacterial small subunit ribosomal RNA
Source: RNAcentral
CGGAGGGGCUAGCGUUGUUCGGAAUUACUGGGGCGUAAAGCGCACGUAGGCGGCUUUGUAAGUCAGAGGUGAAAGCCCGGAGCUCAACUCCGGAAUUGCCUUUGAGACUGCAUCGCUUGAAUCCAGGAGAGGUGAGUGGAAUUCCGAGUGUAGAGGUGAAAUUCGUAGAUAUUCGGAAGAACACCAGUGGCGAAGGCGGCUCACUGGACUGGUAUUGACGCUGAGGUGCGAAAGCGUGGGGGAGCAAACAGGAUU